GUCUAUGGCCAUACCACCCUGAACGCGCCCGAUCUCGUCUGAUCUCAGAAGCUAAGCAGGGUCGGGCCUGGUUAGUACUUGGAUGGGAGAUGUGGUACAUGGUGACUCUGGGAAUCCCAGAAACUCUGCACU
Molecule: ribosomal RNA, 132 nt
Filed under: Neogale vison (American mink)
Lineage: Eukaryota; Metazoa; Chordata; Mammalia; Carnivora; Mustelidae
Source: RNAcentral